UGGCCAGGGAGCGCAGCCUGCCCGCAGGCCGCGCGACUGAAAGUUCCAAGUCCACAAAAGUCCCACGCGCGGCCCACCGCGUUCUGGACUUUUGGGGGUGAUGUAGGGGGAGCAGGUGAGGGGUCGCGCACGUCCGAACCGGCCCCGCAUCACCGGGCGGCGGGCCCCGCGCGCUUCCGGCACACGCACCCACCCUCCGCGGGUUAUCGGGCGCGCGCCUCCGCCCCCGCGCGCGCACCCCACCCGUAGCGGCGCACGCGCGCCCUCGCCCACUCUCGCGCGUGUCCUCCGUCGCGAGCGGCCGCCGGGAUGUGCUCCAGGCCCGUCGCUGCCGAGCUCGCGCCUGUGCCCGGAGCCCCAGCAUGUCUUCUUUCAUUUCCUAAAUUUAUUAUUUUUGUCUUCGCAAGUGGCCCUGUCUGGUACGAAGCUUUGGCACAGAUGGCCUCCCGGCGCUUCCCCCAGGGUCGUGUGCUGGAAGGGAACUGCUAGCUCGCAGACAGCCCCGGGCGUCCGCAGGGCUGCGAUCUCCCCGCGUGGCUGGGAGCGGGGCUCUGACUAGUGGGGACCCCGGCCCCCACCCCGGGUGGACCCCGGCCCUGCGCCACUCGCCCGGCUCUCCGCGAGUUGCUUUUCCGUUCUAGAACCUUCCCUCUUCUCAGCCGGUGUUCUCCCGCGCGCCUCUAAUUGUGUAAGUUUCACGAAGCAACAGCUUUGGGCUCCAGGUAAAGCGCAGAAAAAUCAUGCAGAGGAAGGAAGCGCACAGGUUGGAAUCGUCUCCAAAGAGAUCUCGCCACCGCUUUUGCCACCCCCUCCCAACCAGAUUCCUGAAGAUUGGUUUUGUUUUGCUACUCGGUGGCAGGAGUAUUCACUUAGUCUCCACACGUUACUUUCGGGAAGUCGGUGUUCAUCAGCUGUCUUCGUGUAUCAUUUCAACAAGAGUGAUGAAUGGUCUUCAAGAUGCCUGGUUGGACGGCCUCUGGUGGAGCUGGGCUUCGGGAGGACACUGGGCUCCCGUAGGUCAUGUUCCUCGUAUGCAGUCACACGAGGGCACAGCUGGGCCUCCAGCCUGCACUUCGGUCUGCAUCUGGACAGCACCGGCCGGCACCCUGCCUUCCCGCACUCAGGAGCCUAAACACGAAGCACCCUGUUGGUGUGUUUCCUGUGGCGCCCACAGCCCAUGCCCCAUGGGCAACACGCAUGUCUUGGUGGAAAGUGGGCGCCUGCUCCCGCAUCACCUUCCUCUGGGCGUGCAUCCUCACACCCCAAUGCUGAGGCUUCCGACCCGGGCAGGUGUGUGUUCGUUCUCCAGAUAA
This 1313-nucleotide long non-coding RNA is filed under the name Ovis aries (sheep). Its description in RNAcentral is "lncRNA (ENSOARG00000026145.1)". Lineage: Eukaryota; Metazoa; Chordata; Mammalia; Artiodactyla; Bovidae. The record is from RNAcentral.